Molecule: ribosomal RNA, 467 nt
Filed under: uncultured bacterium
Lineage: Bacteria
Description: partial 16S ribosomal RNA
Rfam family: Bacterial small subunit ribosomal RNA
Source: RNAcentral
GAUGAACGCUGGCGGCGUGCUUAACACAUGCAAGUCGAACGGAAAGGCCCAAGCUUGCUUGGGUACUCGAGUGGCGAACGGGUGAGUAACACGUGGGUGAUCUGCCCUGCACUUCGGGAUAAGCCUGGGAAACUGGGUCUAAUACCGGAUAGGACCACUUCUUGGAUGUUGUGGUGGAAAGUUUUUUCGGUGUGGGAUGAGCUCGCGGCCUAUCAGCUUGUUGGUGGGGUAAUGGCCUACCAAGGCGUCGACGGGUAGCCGGCCUGAGAGGGUGUACGGCCACAGUGGGACGGAGAACCGGCCCAGACCCCUACGGGGGGGGGCGGGGGGGAUUGUUGAAAAAUGGGGGCAGGCUGGAUGCAGCGCCGCCGGGGGGGGGAGGACGGCCUUGGGGUGGUAAACUCCUUCCGCUAGGGAAGAAGCGUUUUGGGACGGUACCUGGAGAAGAAGCACCGGCUAACUCCGUG